Molecule: transfer RNA, 87 nt
Filed under: Candidatus Eiseniibacteriota bacterium
Lineage: Bacteria; Candidatus Eiseniibacteriota
Description: tRNA-Leu
Rfam family: tRNA
About the family: Transfer RNA (tRNA) molecules are approximately 80 nucleotides in length. Their secondary structure includes four short double-helical elements and three loops (D, anti-codon, and T loops).
Source: RNAcentral
GCCGGGAUGGCGAAACUGGCAGACGCAGCGGACUUAAAAUCCGCUGGGAGCAAUCCCGUCCGGGUUCGAUUCCCGGUCCCGGCACCA